GUCCUUUAGAGAUAAUUGAAGGUUUAACCUGCCCACUGAGAAAUUUUAAAUGGCCGCAGUAAAUUGACUGUGCAAAGGUAGCAUAAUCAAUAGUUUUUUAAUUGAAAGCUUGUAUGAAUGGUUGGACGAGAUAAAAUCUGUCUUUAGUUAAUAAAUAAAAUUUAAUAUUUAAGUUAAAAAGCUUAAAUAAUAUUAAAAGACGAGAAGACCCUAUAGAUCUUUAUAAUAUUGUAAUUAUUUGUAUUAAAGAUUAAUUUAUAUUUUAUUUAUGUUAUUAUUAUAUUGGGGUAAUAGAGAGAUUAGAAAAAUUCUUUUUAAAAAUUAACAAUAAUUUUUGAUUUAGUGAUCCAUUAAUUAAUGAUUAAAAGAUUUAGUUACCUUAGGGAUAACAGCGUAAUUUUUUUAGAGAGUUCAUAUCGAUAAAAAAGUUUGCGACCUCGAUGUUGGAUUAAAAAUUAUUCUAGGUGUAGUAGUUUAGAAUUUUGGUCUGUUCGACCAUUAAAUUUUUACAUGAUCUGAGUUCAGACCGGUGUAAGCCAGGUCGGUUUCUAUCUUUAGUUAGAGAUAAUAUUUUAGUACGAAAGGACCAAUUAUUAAAUAUGCAAUAUUUUUAUUAUUGAAUUA
RNAcentral lists this ribosomal RNA (624 nucleotides) under Rhithrodytes crux. RNAcentral's name for it is "partial 16S ribosomal RNA". It matches the Rfam family "Bacterial large subunit ribosomal RNA", at positions 1826 to 2731 of the family's 2925-position model. Lineage: Eukaryota; Metazoa; Arthropoda; Insecta; Coleoptera; Dytiscidae. The record is from RNAcentral.